Corticium candelabrum is the source of this 1165-nucleotide long non-coding RNA. RefSeq lists it as uncharacterized. The transcript is spliced from 2 exons. Lineage: Eukaryota; Metazoa; Porifera; Homoscleromorpha; Homosclerophorida; Plakinidae. The record is from RefSeq and is a predicted model, not a curated record.
CCGUGGUCACGCACGGAGAAGUGUGUAGAGACCACAUUUCUGCGCCUGAGCAGUAGUUGGCGGGCUUCUCGAUUUGCAAUCGAUUAGAGCUGAUUAUCUUGUGUCUGUUCAGCGACUUUCUUGAUCUGGGUCGCGUUUCUAGUUGUGUAGUUGUAUUUACCAAUAGUUCUUGGAUUUUAUUUACUGCAACAGCCAGAGAAUAGUCCUAGGUUUUCCAGUGUUUUUCAACACUAAAAUGAGCAGGUGGAAGAGAGGAGAGGGUGUUCACCCAGGGAGGAAUUGUGUGUCAUGUAGUGUUUGUGGAGGCAGAUUUUGUCAUCCAGACAACUGGAAUGAAGAAUUCAAGGAGUGGAUCAUGACGUCAUCUCAGCUUGAUAUGCAGUCUUGCUUGUUUCCAAAGUGUAGUAGAUAGUUGAGACAGAAGUGGGAAAUUUUUUGCAUAUGUGUGCAAAUGGAUGCAGAUGUGCCAAGAGAAUUUGAGGAAGAAGAGCCCUCAUCAUCUGAUUCUUUUUCGCCAAGUAUCUAUUGACUGUUGUGGCUUUCAUGCUAUCAUUGUACUCAUGUGUUCAUCAUUUGUGCGACCAGAAGAAAGUCCAUUUUACUUCUUCAAAAAUCCAAAUUUAUCAGAGAGAGUCAUUUCCUAGAGGCUGUUGAAAUAAGUUUUAAUUUAUUUAUUCUAAAUGAAUGUUUUGUAAUGAGUUGUAGACUAUCUUAACAACAACAGCAAUAAUAAUAAUUAUUAUUAUUAUCCCAGGUAAAAAUAAUAAUGAAAAUAAUUAAUAAUGACAAUAAUAAUGAGAAAUUAUAAUAAUAAAUAAUGUAUAUGCACACAAACAAGUUCUGUGUACUAUGUCUUCAUGAGAUGUUGUGUCAUUUCAAGGUUACUGAGAUGUCGCAGAGCUCAUUUGACAGCAAAGACCUGGAAAGAUCUACUCCAACUAACGUGAAAUCACUUGAUAGAAUUGAGACACGGAGUACUUCAAAUUAUUGUCUUUGCUUGGUUCAUAAGCUUGCGUGUGCAAUGUUUGUGUUAUGGAGUUUUAUGAAUGUUAGAGCGGUGACCAUACACUGAACAGAAUCUAGGUGUAGUUGACAACUACAUCACACUAUAGUUCUUACAAGUUAGAGAAAACAAAGAAAAAACAUUUCUGGUGCUCUGAAAGUA